UACGUAGGGUGCGAGCGUUGUCCGGAAUUAUUGGGCGUAAAGGGCUCGUAGGCGGUCUGUCACGUCGGGAGUGAAAACUCAGGUCUUAACCCUGAGCCUGCUUCCGAUACGGGCUGACUAGAGGUAUGCAGGGGAGAACGGAAUUCCUGGUGUAGCGGUGAAAUGCGCAGAUAUCAGGAGGAACACCAAUGGCGAAGGCAGCACUCUGGGACGGUACUGACGCUGAGACGCGAAAGCGUGGGGAGCAAACAGG
This 253-nucleotide ribosomal RNA is filed under the name uncultured bacterium. Its description in RNAcentral is "partial 16S ribosomal RNA". It matches the Rfam family "Bacterial small subunit ribosomal RNA", at positions 524 to 776 of the family's 1533-position model. The record is from RNAcentral.